This 253-nucleotide ribosomal RNA is filed under the name uncultured bacterium. RNAcentral describes it as "partial 16S ribosomal RNA". It matches the Rfam family "Bacterial small subunit ribosomal RNA", at positions 524 to 776 of the family's 1533-position model. The record is from RNAcentral.
CACGUAGGGCGCGAGCGUUGUCCGGAAUUAUUGGGCGUAAAGAGCUCGUAGGCGGCCUGUUGCGUCCGCUGUGAAAGCCCGGGGCUUAACCCCGGGUCGGCAGUGGAUACGGGCAGGCUAGAGGUAGGUAGGGGAGAAUGGAAUUCCCGGUGUAGCGGUGAAAUGCGCAGAUAUCGGGAGGAACACCGAUGGCGAAGGCAGGUCUCUGGGCCGCAACUGACGCUGAGGAGCGAAAGCAUGGGGAGCGAACAGG